AUACGGAGGGUGCGAGCGUUAAUCGGAAUUACUGGGCGUAAAGCGCGCGUCGGCGGUUUGGUCAGUCGGAUGUGAAAGCCUUAGGCUCAACAUGGGAAUGGCAUUCGAUACUGCCUGACUAGAGUAUGGUAGAGGGAAGUGGAAUUUCCGGUGUAGCGGUGAAAUGCGUAGAUAUCGGAAGGAACACCAGUGGCGAAGGCGACUUCCUGGGCCAAUACUGACGCUGAGGUGCGAAAGCGUGGGGAGCAAACAGGAUUAGAAACCCCAGUAGUCC
This 274-nucleotide ribosomal RNA is filed under the name uncultured bacterium. RNAcentral's name for it is "partial 16S ribosomal RNA". It matches the Rfam family "Bacterial small subunit ribosomal RNA", at positions 523 to 796 of the family's 1533-position model. The record is from RNAcentral.